CCCUUAGGUGUUCUGGGCCGCACGCGCGCUACACUGAUGCAUGCAGCAAGUCUUUUCCUUGGCCGAGAGGCCUGGGCAAUCUUUGAAUAUGCAUCGUGAUGGGGAUAGACGAUUGCAAUUAUUCGUCUUCAACGAGGAAUUCCUAGUAAACGCAAGUCAUCAGCUUGCAUUGAUUACGUCCCUGCCCUUUGUACACACCGCCCGUCGCACCUACCGAUUGAAUGGUCCGGUGAAGGCUCCGGAGGCGUCUUUCUCAAUGUUUAUUCGGCGAGAUUGGUGCCAAAGUUGAAUGAACCUUACCAUUUAGAGGAAGGUGAAGUCGUAACA
This 327-nucleotide ribosomal RNA is filed under the name uncultured eukaryote. RNAcentral describes it as "partial 18S ribosomal RNA". It matches the Rfam family "Eukaryotic small subunit ribosomal RNA", at positions 1470 to 1796 of the family's 1831-position model. The record is from RNAcentral.